CUACGUAGGGUGCAAGCGUUAAUCGGAAUUACUGGGCGUAAAGCGUGCGCAGGCGGUUUUGUAAGACAGUGGUGAAAUCCCCGGGCUCAACCUGGGAACUGCCAUUGUGACUGCAAGGCUGGAGUGCGGCAGAGGGGGAUGGAAUUCCGCGGGUAGCAGUGAAAUGCGUAGAUAUGCGGAGGAACACCGAUGGCGAAGGCAAUCCCCUGGGCCUGCACUGACGCUCAUGCACGAAAGCGUGGGGAGCAAACAGUAUUAGAUACCCUGGUAGUCCACGCCCUAAACGAUGUCAACUGGUUGUUGGGGAUUUAUUUUCUCAGUAACGAAGCUAACGCGUGAAGUUGACCGCCUGGGGAGUACGGCCGCAAGGUUAAAACUCAAAUGAAUUGACGGGG
Molecule: ribosomal RNA, 395 nt
Filed under: uncultured bacterium
Lineage: Bacteria
Description: partial 16S ribosomal RNA
Rfam family: Bacterial small subunit ribosomal RNA
Source: RNAcentral